GCGAGAUAAAGUACUAACAACAACAACAACAACCUAGUAAAAUCCCAAAAGUAAGGGGUCUGGGGAAGGUAGUUUGUACGCAGACCUUACCCCUACCCCCGUGGAGUAGAGAGACAGUUUCCGAUAGGCCUUCGGCUUAAGAAAACGAAAAAGACAAAAGAGACAAUAUAUCAGUAUCAUCAACAGAAACCAUAGAAAUAAUAAAAUAUUAUAAGAAACCAAAAAAUAGUUGAAACGCAAUACAAUAACCAGUAAAGAAAAACGGGAGUAAAGAAAAACGGGAGAAUAGUGAGAACACAACAUAGCAAGAUAAAGUACUAAUAUAUAGAUAUAAGGUUGAUGAAAGAGUAUGGUGUUAGAGAGUAGUGGAUUAAAGAAUUUACAAUUGGACCAUUGAUCUUAGAGACGCCUUUAUCAGUUUGGAAGAAUGACAUAGAAUUAAUGAUAGAAAGCAAGGAUGGAAAACUUGCGUCUUGUAACCUUCUUAUUACGAAAGAAAUUAAGGAGCUUGGCAUGUCUGGUAUUAAACUCACAUUGCACGUUGCUCUUUGCAAAGAGAGCUUAAUUUCGAUCAAGAGAGAGAGAGAGAGAGAAGUGGUCAUAGGUGAAACUCAAAUACUUGAUGUUGUAAAGUUGGCUUGUUGACCCAUAUGUAUUUGGUAAUCUACUGCAAAAUAAUGAUAAUUCUCUUCUGAAUGCUUCUUAUUUGUGAUUAUCUUGAGAAGUUGAGAUAGUAUGUAAUUUAUGAAUUCUAAAACAGUGGACAAUAAUCAGUGCAACUUACAUGACAUUCAUGUUGAGACAGAUGAACGUGGUAAAUGUUCUUUUGUGUCUCCCUCCCUCUCUUUCUUCACAAAAAGAAAAAAGAAAGAGAGAGCUCCACCUUUCUCGUCAAAAACUUGUUCGUUUUACCUCUUUUCUGCCUUUGUUGGCCUCUCGAAGAGCUGGAACUCAACUUACAUAUUUUUACCCAAAUCCUGACAAAAAGAAAAAAAUCAUCAAGUUGAGACAAGAUAAUCAUACUUAAUAACACUAUAUGGUGCUGAAGCUUCCUGAGGUUAAUUAGUUGGGGGGAAACUUCAAUAUUUUUAAUAGGUAGAAAGCAAAUAAUCUGUCACAUGUACCUUUGACUUGUAUUAGAGCUCUGCAUUUAAGGAGGAGAAAUAACUUUUACACAACUCAGCAAACAGAUCAAAGCUCAACAAUGAACUUGUGAACAACCUCCUCCUCCUUGCUCAACUCACUGGAAAAGGAAAAGAACAAGAUUAUAUGAAUUGCUAUAGCGAUGAAACUUCAAGCAAUACAUGCACUACAAAAUCUUCAAGCAAGAUUGGUUCAUAUUCGAAAGACUAUGCACAUUCAGGCUGACAUAGCUACGUAUCUUCAUGGUAAAAUAUUUCUAGUUUGUUAAUAUUACAAUUUGCUAUCAACGUUCUAGAGCAAACUAUUAAUUCCUACCAAUACUCUUUUUCAGAAUGUAUAAAUAUCUCUGUAGUUGAAAUGUAUCAUCUUUGUUGUAUUUAACAUUAAAUUUCAUCUCGAAGUUAAGAUGCUUCCUCUGCUUCACAGUGCAAUAGACGCUACACACUGCUCAACAAGAUUUAACAAGUAAAAAUAAUUUCAAGAAAACAAAGAGAAGUAGCAAAAAUAGAAAAGCAACUGAAGGAGAGAAUAACUUACCUCUAUCACAGUACCAUUUGAUUUAACCAUUAUAUGCAUUCCUCGUUGAUUCUUAUGGUGGAAAUUUGAGCUCUUUGUGACCAGCAUUCCCUCUUCUUAGCCAGGAUUCCCCCUUCUUAAAUUCUAGACGUGGUUAUAGGCAACGAACUGGAAGGGACUUGAGAUUUGGACAAUUAUCGAUGAGCUGGAGGGAGGAGGGAAGCUAUAAACUGAAAUCAUUUUCAAAAUAGAGCAAAGAGAUUAGUCAAUCAUACCAUGUACUCUUAUCAAAUCCCUGACAAAGUAGAAAAAAUAUAAUAUUAUCCUUAAUUUGCUAAAACUCCAUUCUAGAGAUGAUAAUUCUAAUAACAUAGGUACAAAACUAAGAAUCCUAUAUAAGAUGAUCAUAACAUACAUACAAACUAAAAACCGCUGUCCUAUAGGAGUAAAACUAUCAUUUCAUGCUCAUCAAGUUCCUGAUGACAAGUUUAUCAUCCAUCCCAGGUUUAGGCUAGAAGGAAAGGAAGAAAUACAAACAAAAGAAAUUAUCAUCACAUGAAUGCUGAAAGGGCACACACUUUAGCUAUCACUUGGCCAAAUUUACACUUACAUUUAUGAAAUAAGCAAUCUAACUAUGAAAAUAUCUUAAGCCUAAUGACUGCCAACUCAUAACAACAGAAGUUCAUUUUUUUUAAAAUUUUUGGAUGGUUGUCCGUGAUUAUACACACACACAUACAUUGGAAUAUAGUUUCUAUAUGGGGCUUUAGCAUAGAUCUCUACAUUUAAUGACGAGCAAAACAUCACACAGUAGGAUGAAUCAUUCUUCUUAAUCAAGAGCAGAGAGCUACAUCAUUCAGACAUACCAUCAAAUUUGUUUCUUUCUAGUUUUUACUGGAAAUGAAACUUCGCACGGUAGGAUGAAUCAUUCUUCUUAAUUAAGACAAGAUCACGUUGAUCAUGGUUUGGUGUAACUAGAAAAUAGUACAAAUACUUACUUAUUUGGACAAAAUAUCAUUUCUGAAGUUGUCAAACAUUGCAUUUGUGAUCUGUUAUGAUAUUUUGGAAAGAAAACCUGAAAGUCAAGUGAAAUUUUUUAAGCUAAGUAGUUUGUUCGAACAAAUAAAAGUUAACAGAGCCAAGCCUCAAACUACUACCAAUCUAUGCUGAAUAAUCCACUGUAAAAGAAGACAGAGCAAAACAAGUUAUAUAAAUUGUGUAAUAUGUAAAGCUUAGUCAACCAUUUAAUUUGGACAAAAUAUCAGUUUCAAUAGUUAAUAGCAGUGGAUAUUUAAUUGAUAUAGAGAAUGACUACGCCUUUUCAUUGAUGCUUGAAAUUCGGCAUAGGAAAAACUCCGGUAUAGAAAAUUACAUAAUAUUUCCUUCUGACUGAUGAAAGAGAAGUAAUGCUGGCAAAAUUCCACACAAAAGAGAGGUAUGUUUCCUCACUUACACUCUUCUGACAGACCACUGUUGAGGUGAUUGCCUAUUCAUAAAGAAUGUCAGCACAACAUUGUUUUCAUCAACUGAGCAAAAAGGCUGGCAAUUGACGCUUUGCGCUGCUCUACAAGAUUAACAAAGAAAAAGAAUUACAAACAAGCGAAGAGAAGUAAUGAAAUAUAAAGCUGCUGAAGAAGUGAACAACUUACAUCUAUCAAAGUUUUUGGCCACUACUCUCCUUUCUCAAAUUUUAGACACGGUUUGAGCAAUGGGCAGUUGAAAAUACAGAUGGAAGAGGGCAUUCCCUUUACUGGAAGAGAUUGAAGAUUAGGACAACUCUGACUUGAUGAUGAUUCCAUGGCUUCAUUGUUGCAAUAGACGCUUUGCGCUGCUAAAAAAAUUAAUGAAGGAAAAGAAUUAACAAACAAGCUAAGGGAAGUAAACAAAAAUAAAAAGCUACUGAAAAAAAAAACUUACAUUUAUCAGAGCACCAUUUGCUUUAACCAUUACAGGUAUUCCUCCUCGACCUUUAUGGUGGGAAUAUGAGCAAUUUUUGGCCAGUAAUCCCCCUUCUCGAAUUCUAUACGUGGUUUGAGCAAUGGGCAGUUGUGAAUAGAUAGUCUAGAGAUGGAAGAGGGCAUCCCUUUUACUGGAAAGGAUUGGAGAUUAGGGCAAGUCCAGAUGGACAGCUUAGAGAGGGAAGAGGGCAGUGCUGAUUCUGCAAGAGGGCAAUCCCAUAUAUUCAGCACAGAAAGGGAGGAGGGAAGCGCUGAUUCUGGAAGAGAUUGAAGUUGAUAGCAGGAGUUGAUCUCUAGAAAUCGAAGGGAAGUGAGGUGCCUAAGACCUUCGGUUGGUAAUGAAUGGAGCUCAUGAUGCCGAUAUAAAUAUAACUCAGAAAGAGAUGAGGGAAGCCCUUCUUCCAGCAGUGACCGAAUUUGAGGUAAAUUAACAAUAAAUAGAGAUUCAAGCGAGGUGAGGCGUUUGACAACUUGGCAGCUUAAUGUUUUCAGAUUGUCUACUUCAAGACUUCGAAUAGAGCAAGGCAACUCCCAAUUUUCACCAGCAAGAAUCUCUUCAUCACUACCAUCAUGGUAGAUGGUUAAAUCUGUGAGAAAAGGGAGUCUCUGUAAGUCCCACUCCUUCCGGCAAUUCACCAGUUUCUUGCAAUUGUGGAUCUCAAGAACUUCUAAAUUGCAGGGCAAUCCUCCUUCAGGAAAGGACUCCAUUUCUGGACAAUUUUGGAGUAGCAGUUCCUUAAGAUAUGGAAGGAGUUCCUCCAUACGUUCUGGAAGCGACUUCAGCUUUUCACAGUUGAAAAUAUACAACUUACGCAAUGGCAUCGCCUGAGUCCCGCCUGCCACCAAAAGUAUUUCCAGAUUUUCACAUUCAUUAAUUCUGAGAUGUUCAGUCCCAUUGGGAAUCAAAAGCCUAGUAAGGCUGUGACAACUUUCUACGCUAAAAUAGCGUGCUCUUGGAACCAACUCAGGUGAUAUAUCAUCUAUAGAAUCACAUUCAUCGAGUUCCAGAUUCUCGAGAAACAUGUUACUUCCUCUAGAAAUCAUCUGACUAAUUGACGUCUCCAAUUUCAAUUUCUGACAACGACGCAUCCUUAUUUUCUUCAAUGUACUUGGCAAACUGCUAAAAGGUAAGCAGGUAAGAGAGUCAGAGUGAUCAAUAUAUAAUUCAACUAUCUGCUUCAUUCCCUGAAGUUGGGAUGCAAACAGUUCAGCAUGAUCAAAAAGAACUCCAUCCUUAGGAGAACCAACAACUUCAAACUUUUUUAAACUUGAAAGUUGAAUAGGUGUCUCCAAAAUGAGUUCAGGACAUUUUGAAAUUCUCAAUCUUGUUAGAGAACAAAGAUUUUCAGGAAACUUCCCAAUCAACUUAGGACAAUCAAAAAUUGAAAGGUCCUGAAGUGUAGGGAAAUCUCCAUUGCCUAGAACAUGCCAGUGCUUCCACUCCAGCAUCCUUGCAAAUUCAAGCUUCUGAAGAGAGUUAAAAGGCUUCUUGGAGGACAAAUUACCAUAAAAAUCUUCAGCCACCUCCACUAUUCGAUGCAUCCCUCGAAUUGCAAGAAAUUUCAAAGAUGGAAGUUGUCCUAGUGCUGGAAGGGAAUCACAAUUCUUGCAAUUGCUAAGAGACAAUUCCACCAGUUUAAGAAACGAAUGAUCAGCGAUCCAGUUUGGAAACUUUGUCCCUCCAUAUCCGGUAAUUUGGAGUUCUUUUAUGUUCCGAUUUGGAUGUAGCUCAUCAAGUAUGUCUCUUUCAUCUUGAGAACUGUCAGCAAUACUUUUUUCACUCCACUCCAACGAUAACUUUUCAACAUGAUUCUUGUCCCUCAUGUUUGCCUUCACAGCUUCCCUUCUAUCAAUCACAUUUUGCAACUCUAGGAUUGAUAGAGAUCCAUACAAGUUAUGCAGCUUAUCCAUACCUCCGAUUCUUGAACCACUGCAACCACCUAGAAGAAAUUUAGCUCCCACUAACACGUGGAGGCUUUUAAACUUGCUUGGAAGUAGCGGUAGCUUCAAGCGAGAAGCGUUGCUAAUGUCAAGGUAACGCAAGUUGAUCAACUUUUCCAUUUGCAAUGGUAACUCCUCAAGAUAAUAACAAGAUGACAAGAGAAAUGUCUCUAAGUUGUACAAUACACAAAUCGAAUCUGGUAACUUUCUUAUCUUUGUCAGGGAAAGGUCCAAAAAUUUCAGGAGCUUCAAUUCGAUUAACAAGACAUUCGGCAACUCCUCAAUCUCAUAGCAAGCCAAUGAUAAUGCCCUUAAGGAUGUUAGACUUGGCAAUAUGUUAUGCAACACCCUCUUGCUUAAAGGAAAUGAAUUAUCGAGCUCAAAACUUAUUGGAAGCAAUGUUCUCAGCUGCUUCAAUUUGUGUAGGGGUUUCAAUUUCUCAAAGUCACCAUAUCCCAUUGAAUAUGAUAGGUGUCGACUUUUUUCCAAUAUAUGAGAUCCUUCGUUAUCUUCCAGAUUGAUACAAAGUUUUGAAGAUGCCAUUUGGGCCAAAUCAUUGACAAGGUCAUGCAUUAAGAAUACCUCUACCUUCCUUUUAGAAGACUCUUGGACCCUUUCGAACAACGAUCUUGAUCGCAACUCGAGAAAGUAUUGGUUGCCUAAAUCUUCAAUUGUUUCAUCUUUUUGCAACUGUUGUACGAGACCAUUAGCAAUCCAGAGUUGAAUGAUUUGUUCUUUGCAAAAUGGAUAAUCUUUGGGAAAUAUUGCACAAUAGGAAAAACAUUGCUUCAAAUGCACGGGAAGAUCAUUGUAGCUCAGCAUCAACGCUGGUAAUAUGCUGUUAUCUGGCAGUUCCCAUAUUUCGCUUCUCAAAACACGUCUCCACUCUUCAACCUCUGAUUUGGAGCGCAACAAACCAGCAAGUGUCUUUAGUGCUAAAGGCAAUCCUUUGCACUUAAUUGCAAUUUGUUUUCCUAUCUCUUCAAGUUCUGGAUUUUCCUUAGGAUCCCUAUUUUCAAAUGCAUGUCUUUUGAAUAAAGGCCAAGAGACUUCAGUAGACAGAGUUCCCACGUUAAUUAGCCCACUACCCAUCAUCAAGGCAACACUCUCCUUACGUGUCGUCACAAUGAUCAUACUUCCAUUUUCUCCUUGUGCAAAAGGAUUUCUCAAGUCAUACCAAUCAUUGUAGUUGUCAUUCCAAACAUCAUCUAAAACAAUAAGGAACUUUUUCCCCUUUAAGCUUUCCAUCAAUUUGAUCUGAAGCUGAUUAAGAUUGUUGUCAACCAUCAAGUCGGAUGAACCAAUUUCUUGAAGUAACCCUUUUGUUAUUCUAAAAACAUCAUAUGGUUCAGACACACAGAUCCAAGAUUUCAACUUAAAAUGUUGUUUCACCUUCUCAUCAUUGUAAACAACUUUAGCAAGUGUUGUCUUGCCAACACCCGCCAUUCCAAUAAUAGGAAUUACAGUCAACUUUUUUUCUUUUGCAUCAUCAGACAAUAAACGGUCAACCAAUAUAUUUAUUUCAUUCUGCCUACCAAAGAUGUCAGAUUCAUCAACCACAGAAGUUGAAAGUCUUCUAGUUUCUUGUUUACCCGAGUCAAGAUGGUCAUUUAGGCCAAGGCAGCCAAUUUGCUUUUGCAACUCCUCCAAUGUUUCAAUGGUAUCUACCAACUUCUCCUUUAUGUAAAGAAAAAAUUUAUCACUCAAGCACAAGUUGAGGUCACUUCCCUGUUGGUUGUUUGUUUCUGAAAAAGUUUUAUACUGACCUUCCACCUUAACUCUCAGAACUUCAUAAUUGAUUUCUUCCAUUAAGUUUUCAGCACUGUCCACAGCAUCCCGAAGUUCAUUAAGCCACUCACUCACAUUUGGAUUUGAUGCCUGCUUAUUCUCUGCAUCAUUUAGCACAAUCUUAAGACCACGCAAAGUCCUCCUCAGCUUCUUUAACAGCAAAACAUCAUGCUUGCCCCUUCGAAACAUCUUCAGAAGCUCACCUUGAGGAGCAAGCCUAUCAAAGAGAACUUGCAGAACUGAAGAGAGAAAUGCACCACCAAAUGUUAAGCCAAUAUCCAUUUCUAAAAGCUGCAACGCAAAAGAGGCAACCACAAACUGAUCAAGAACUUGCUUGCCUGUUUCUAUCUUAAAAUUAAUCUUAGUUUUACUUGUUCAAUGCUAAGAGUAAUAUACAAACGAGAAUGAUCAGAGUACACUAACUUGUUGAAUGACCUUAUCUUUUUCUCUUUUGCUAGUGGCCUUAAUUACCUGUAAUUCCUACAACUAUGUUUGCUAUUAACAUAGUGUAGUUCACAGUCAUAGGAAGAAGAAAAAACAGAACUGUCCUUUUCUCUUUUCAAAGAGUAUGACUUUUCACCCAACAAAAGAACAAAGACUUCAUAAUGGGGUCUUGGUUCUUGAAUAUUCAUUCCUUUCUGAAUUCUGAGCUGAAAAUUUGAGGCCAUAGAUGAAGGGUAGUUGGGAGUGUAGAAAGGGACUGAAAUAAAUGAGCCUAAAAUGAUAAAUUUCUGUAGGGCAUGGUUUGGUGUGCCAUUUGCUUCAUGCAGAGGCGGAGCUAGGAUUCGAAGUGUAUGGGUUCUAAAUUACAAAUACAAAAAAGUCACUGGGUUUUCUUCUACUGUAGCAGUAGCUCUACUGUAGCUCCGCCCCUGACUACAUAUUAAAGUUUUCUUCUUAAUAAGGGCAUAAGACCACUCCAUGUGAAUGCAAGUUAGUCUCACUAAGAAACUAAAAACAAGAAAGUAGGACAACAACCACAUACCUUGUCUGUCGUCAGACUCCAAGUUUGAGCUUUUGGAAAGAACCAAAGCACAAAUUGAUAAAGAGAAUGAAGUUCAAAAUGUGGGACAACCCUAGAAUCAAAGAUUAAAAAUCAGAUUUCGUAUAAAUUGUAAAAUAUAAAAUAUAAGAGGAAAACAUGAAGAAAAUAAAUCAGGAAAGAAGAAUUGAAGAAGGAAAAAGGAUCUAACUUCUAAGGGAGAAAGAGCUUACACUGCGAGAGUUGGAAGGCCUCCGGCUCCGGCAAAUUGUGGUAGCACGCCGACGAUCAACAACCUUAGACUUUUUGUUUUGGGAGUUGAGAAGAUUAGAAGAAACAGCCUUAUGGUUUAUUUAUUAAAAAGAAUAAAUGGAGUAGUUUAAGGAAGGCAAAGUGUUGUUGUUUGGACUUUGAAGUUGUUUUGGG
RNAcentral lists this long non-coding RNA (8751 nucleotides) under Nicotiana tabacum (common tobacco). Its description in RNAcentral is "long non-coding RNA (NTAB_LNC009722)". Lineage: Eukaryota; Viridiplantae; Streptophyta; Magnoliopsida; Solanales; Solanaceae. The record is from RNAcentral.